CAGAAAUGCGUGAUAGGAAUGCUCCUAGCACUACUAUUGCAGGACCUGAGGAUCAAAACAAGGAAAUUGUGUACACCACAGUUGCACUGAAUCCAGUACCAAGUUCAUCAAAGCCACAGAUUAAUGAGACAUCUGAGUACGCAAUAAUAAAAUGUACUCCUGGAGACCCUACAUCUACUCCAUGAUGGUCAGUGAUGGAUGUGUGAUGUCUUAACAAGAAGGGACUUAUAAGGUCAUUUAGGAAGGCAAUGUUGUAAAGCCAAGAAAAAAAAAAGACUUUUGUUAAUUGGUCCAAAUGUUGCAAAUGUUUGUAUUAAAGCAUUGGUGUGAAACCACAUGUAACAAAUUACUUUUACAAACCCUUUGUUACAAUUUUUUUGACCAAGUCUGAAUUGGAAUAUUUUAUAAUAGUAAUAUUGUUUUUGUACACACAGAAGCACUGUACCACAAAAUUGCCCAUGUUUAUUAAUGCAUCCUCUUCUGUCCAAAAGAAAUAAGUAUCCUCCAUGCGGAGUAUAUACUGGCUCAGACUGUCAUAAUUUGUUUUAAUUUAUAAGCACAUGCCAGUCUUCCUGUCAACAAAUUCCAUAAUGAGUACAAAGACAGUUUACAGACAGUCCAUUUAUAUGAUCAUUGUUGCACAUUUCAUUAUUCUUUUCACUAAGGUGCAUGUCUUUUAGAUGAUGUUGCUUAAAAAUAAUGAUUUUUAGAUUAUCUUGAAUGAAAAUAACAGUGGAAAAUAUGAAUUUAUCACACAGAGCAAAGUAAAGGACAAUUAUUAUUGCAACACCAUUCGCUGAAUUCCUCAUUCCUCUGCCCCAAAGUUAAUGCAUCCCUUCACAUUUACUGGGGCCUCAACCCUCUUGUUAUUUUUCAUUGGGCAGUGUGUUUUAGUCUUCUAAUCUUAGCUAUAUUUGUUCUACAACAAAUAUAUCAACACUGUUUUCUAACUACUAUAUUGUGCAAUGUAGCACUGGAGUUUAUUAAGCCUGAUUUUUUUUUACAUAAUAGUACCAGACUAUUGACUCUGAAAAUAAGCCUUGUUAUAAUUAAAUGUAUUGACUAUAAGUCAUGAAUACAUCUACAUUUUAGUAAGGUUACAGGAAAACUGAUCUUCACAUUUCUAAUAAGGAGAAACUGAUCAGAUUGUCUUUCUCAUCGCAUCAUACUUGUGUUUUAUUUUCCUGUACAAAAAACAGAAUUCUCUGUAUAUGUGCUACAGUUCUGAAAUAUUACUUAAAAGUAAAUUAUGAACUAAACAUUUUUCAUUUUUGAACCAACAAUGGAAAUCACUGCUACACUACUCACACAUCCAUAUCUCUUUAUGAUUACUUAGUUGUUCAUUGCCUUAUUUCACAUCAUAAGGUGCAGAACUCUUUGGUAAUUUCACAGCUGCAUAAAUUAUAUUUACUCUAUAUUCUGUUUUAUGUUUUAGCCCUUGGCAUAAGUACUGUGCUAUGCAACACAUCUGAAAUAUAAUAAUUGACAUCCUA
Molecule: long non-coding RNA, 1493 nt
Organism: Protopterus annectens (West African lungfish)
Lineage: Eukaryota; Metazoa; Chordata; Ceratodontiformes; Protopteridae
Exons: 2
Source: RefSeq, a predicted model, not a curated record